RNAcentral lists this ribosomal RNA (465 nucleotides) under uncultured bacterium. RNAcentral's name for it is "partial 16S ribosomal RNA". It matches the Rfam family "Bacterial small subunit ribosomal RNA", at positions 28 to 507 of the family's 1533-position model. The record is from RNAcentral.
GACGAACGCUGGCGGCGUGCUUAACACAUGCAAGUCGAACGGAAAGGCCCCUUUGGGGGUACUCUAGUGGUGAACGGGUGAGUAACACGUGCGUAACCUGCCCUUGACUUCGGGAUAACUUCAGGAAACUGGGGCUAAUACCGGUUAGGAAUCCUUGCUUCAUGGUGGGGGUUGGAAAGCUUCGGCGGUUUUGGAUGGACUGGCUGCUUAUCAGCUUGUUGGGGGGGUGGUGGAUUACCAAGGCUGUGACGGGUAGCCGGCCUGAGUGAGCGACCGGCCACACUGGGACUGAGGUAAGGCACAGACUCGUAAGGGAGGCAAAAGUGGGGAAGAUUGCACAAUGGGCGGAAGGCUGGUGCAGCAAGGCCGCGUGUGGGAAAACGGCGUUCGGGGUGAAGAACACUUUCAGCAGGGGAGAAGCUUGUGGUGACGGUACCUGCAGAAGAAGCAACGGCUAACUACGUG